GUGCGUGUGUGUAAAGAAGGAGAUUAGGACAUUUAGAGAAGGAGGGCGGGGAGGAGAGAUCCUGAGAAUAGAAAGGAGGAAAGAAAAAAAGAGGAAUGGAAAGAGACAGAGAAAGGAAAUGGGAGUGGAAGGAGGGAGGACUGCUUUGUAACUGCUAAGAUUGCAGACAGAAAUAGCACACAACCACUGUGAGCUGUAUGCGAUUCAGAAACCAAGACCAAAUUUUGCUCACUUUCAUUAAUCAGUUGCUCAGAUAGAAGGAAAUGACAUCUGGUUCUGUCUUCUUCUACAUCUUAAUUUUUGGAAAAUAUUUACUUCCUCCUGAAGAAUGAACUUUCAAACUUUUUUAUUAACACUCCAUCUCCCACCUAGAAUCAAAUAGUAUUACAACAGCUGGUACUGCCUCUUCCUUCGACACAGAAGAAAACCUAAAAUCCAGUAAGACAGAGUGGCAUGCCAAAUUUGCCCAUCAAUUUAUUGGCACAUUCAAGAAUAAAGCAAAACUCUACUGAAUAUCGAUAUAGUAGUAUCUGCCUCUGAGGAUUCUUGGUGCAUAUUUUUGCAUUCUGCCAUGUUUCGUCCAUUUUGCCCCUACCUUGGGCAUUUAAAUAUAAAGAUUCCCAUGAGAUCGGAUCAAUUCAGCUGUUUAUUUCUAGAAAUGUCUAUAAAGAGAAGAACUAACAAGAGAACCAUCUUUUUAUUUUUUUAAUUUACUUCCUAAAUAUAAAUGAAGGAGAAUCUAGAACCACUGUCUUCAUUGGAAAUCAUUGUUCCAAAUGAACCGCAAGUCUGAGUUUAUAAAGCUGCCAUCUCCAAUAUGUCUGUUGAGAAAUAUGUCUAUUUACAUACAUCAUGUUUGUUUCUGACCUUGUGGGACAAUAACUUGGAAUGCCCUGAGCAACAAAAACAUAAAACACUCUGAUGAGACAGCAUCUCAUCCUUGCACUGAAGGAUUUCAAAAGAGGGACAGAUCACCCAGAAUGGACAUGGUCAUAGAGGAAUUUCUCAUGGGGGUGGACAGGAUGUCAAGUGCUCCCUUGGCUAUUUCCCCUGUGGGAACAUCACAAAGUGCUUGCCUCAGCUCCUGCACUGUAACGGUGUGGACGACUGCGGGAAUCAGGCCGAUGAGGACAACUGUGGAGACAACAAUGGAUGGUCUCUGCAAUUUGACAAAUAUUUUGCCAGUUACUACAAAAUGACUUCCCAAUAUCCUUUUGAGGCAGAAACACCUGAAUGUUUGGUCGGUUCUGUGCCAGUGCAAUGUCUUUGCCAAGGUCUGGAGCUUGACUGUGAUGAAACCAAUUUACGAGCUGUUCCAUCGGUUUCUUCAAAUGUGACUGCAAUGUCACUUCAGUGGAACUUAAUAAGAAAGCUUCCUCCUGAUUGCUUCAAGAAUUAUCAUGAUCUUCAGAAGCUGUACCUGCAAAACAAUAAGAUUACAUCCAUCUCCAUCUAUGCUUUCAGAGGACUGAAUAGCCUUACUAAACUGUAUCUCAGUCAUAACAGAAUAACCUUCCUGAAGCCGGGUGUUUUUGAAGAUCUUCACAGACUAGAAUGGCUGAUAAUUGAAGAUAAUCACCUCAGUCGAAUUUCCCCACCAACAUUUUAUGGACUAAAUUCUCUUAUUCUCUUAGUCCUGAUGAAUAACGUCCUCACCCGUUUACCUGAUAAACCUCUCUGUCAACACAUGCCAAGACUACAUUGGCUAGUGAUGAGGAAAAACAAAAUUAAUCACUUAAAUGAAAAUACUUUUGCACCUCUCCAGAAACUGGAUGAAUUGGAUUUAGGAAGUAAUAAGAUUGAAAAUCUUCCACCGCUUAUAUUCAAGGACCUGAAGGAGCUGUCACAAUUGAAUCUUUCCUAUAAUCCAAUCCAGAAAAUUCAAGCAAACCAAUUUGAUUAUCUUGUCAAACUCAAGUCUCUCAGCCUAGAAGGGAUUGAAAUUUCAAAUAUCCAACAAAGGAUGUUUAGACCUCUUAUGAAUCUCUCUCACAUAUAUUUUAAGAAAUUCCAGUACUGUGGGUAUGCACCACAUGUUCGCAGCUGUAAACCAAACACUGAUGGAAUUUCAUCUCUAGAGAAUCUCUUGGCAAGCAUUAUUCAGAGAGUAUUUGUCUGGGUUGUAUCUGCAGUUACCUGCUUUGGAAACAUUUUUGUCAUUUGCAUGCGACCUUAUAUCAGGUCUGAGAACAAGCUGUAUGCCAUGUCAAUCAUUUCUCUCUGCUGUGCCGACUGCUUAAUGGGAAUAUAUUUAUUCGUGAUCGGAGGCUUUGACCUAAAGUUUCGUGGAGAAUACAAUAAGCAUGCGCAGCUGUGGAUGGAGAGUACUCAUUGUCAGCUUGUAGGAUCUUUGGCCAUUCUGUCCACAGAAGUAUCAGUUUUACUGUUAACAUUUCUGACAUUGGAAAAAUACAUCUGCAUUGUCUAUCCUUUUAGAUGUGUGAGACCUGGAAAAUGCAGAACAAUUACAGUUCUGAUUCUCAUUUGGAUUACUGGUUUUAUAGUGGCUUUCAUUCCAUUGAGCAAUAAGGAAUUUUUCAAAAACUACUAUGGCACCAAUGGAGUAUGCUUCCCUCUUCAUUCAGAAGAUACAGAAAGUAUUGGAGCCCAGAUUUAUUCAGUGGCAAUUUUUCUUGGUAUUAAUUUGGCCGCAUUUAUCAUCAUAGUUUUUUCCUAUGGAAGCAUGUUUUAUAGUGUUCAUCAAAGUGCCAUAACAGCAACUGAAAUACGGAAUCAAGUUAAAAAAGAGAUGAUCCUUGCCAAACGUUUUUUCUUUAUAGUAUUUACUGAUGCAUUAUGCUGGAUACCCAUUUUUGUAGUGAAAUUUCUUUCACUGCUUCAGGUAGAAAUACCAGGUACCAUAACCUCUUGGGUAGUGAUUUUUAUUCUGCCCAUUAACAGUGCUUUGAACCCAAUUCUCUAUACUCUGACCACAAGACCAUUUAAAGAAAUGAUUCAUCGGUUUUGGUAUAACUACAGACAAAGAAAAUCUAUGGACAGCAAAGGUCAGAAAACAUAUGCUCCAUCAUUCAUCUGGGUGGAAAUGUGGCCACUGCAGGAGAUGCCACCUGAGUUAAUGAAGCCGGACCUUUUCACAUACCCCUGUGAAAUGUCACUGAUUUCUCAAUCAACGAGACUCAAUUCCUAUUCAUGACUGACUCUGAAAUUCAUUUCUUCGCAGAGAAUACUGUGGGGGUGCUUCAUGAGGGAUUUACUGGUAUGAAAUGAAUACCACAAAAUUAAUUUAUAAUAAUAGCUAAGAUAAAUAUUUUACAAGGACAUGAGGAAAAAUAAAAAUGACUAAUGCUCUUACAAAGGGAAGUAAUUAUAUCAAUAAUGUAUAUAUAUUAGUAGACAUUUUGCAUAAGAAAUUAAGAGAAAUCUACUUCAGUAACAUUCAUUCAUUUUUCUAACAUGCAUUUAUUGAGUACCCACUACUAUGUGCAUAGCAUUGCAAUAUAGUCCUGGAAGUAGACAGUGCAGAACCUUUCAAUCUGUAGAUGGUGUUUAAUGACAAAAGACUAUACAAAGUCCAUCUGCAGUUCCUAGUUUAAAGUAGAGCUUUACCUGUCAUGUGCAUCAGCAAGAAUCAUAGGCACUUUUAAAUAAAGGUUUAAAGUUUUGGAAUACUCAGUGUAUUUGCAUCAUAGAAAAUGUCUGACUGUUUGCAAAAUAAUAUUCUGUUUUAAGAAUCCAUCUUACCUCUCUUUAAGUUUCCAUACACUUGAGAGCCAACACAACAUAUUUAUUACUAAAAAGAUGCUUUGCUAGAAACUCAAAAACAGCACUUCUUUUGGCACUUCCUGCCCAGUUUUCUCUUUGCUUUAAAUGAACAUCAUCAUAUGGAAUUGGAAUAGGAGAGUAUGAGUACGGCAGAGAAGUGGAUCAGAAAAACUAGAAUGAGGAUAAACAUUUACAUUAGUGGAAACUCCUGAAAUAAAUCCUUGUAUUGUCAGUUAACUGAUUUUCAACAAGGAUGCCAAGACAAAAAGGCUUUUCAACAAACCGUGCUGUUUUAAGAACAGACCUAAGUGGUUUAAUUCACCCACUUUAGAUGGGUGAAUGUUAUGGUGUGUGAAAUAUCUCAGUAAAGCAGUUAAAAGGAAAAAGAGCUGGAAUGCACUGAUUCAGGAACUUAAUUUCAGGAAGGAAAGGUCUGUAUGUACACAUUUCACUUUAAGCAGAAAAUCUUUCUUCAAGAAAUGACUUUACUUUCUCUUUGCACUGCCAGCACGUGAGAUACUAACUUUUUAACUAGUUGUUCUUCUCUAGUCUCUACGUUAUUAGAAUUUUUUGCUUUCAUAAUGUGAAACCUUUAAGCAGGAGAAGAAAAUGUUUUCAGAUAGUUUCAAAUACACCAAAAAUGUUUGAAACACAAAAAUACUGGAAUCAAACCAUAAUGCACUUAUUGAAUAUAUAGUUGUAUAGAUUUGUUCUGAAAAUAAAUUAUCUGAAAUUUAACUAUUAA
Molecule: long non-coding RNA, 4468 nt
Filed under: Homo sapiens (human)
Lineage: Eukaryota; Metazoa; Chordata; Mammalia; Primates; Hominidae
Description: long non-coding RNA NONHSAT199324.1
Source: RNAcentral